AAGGAUCAUUAACGAGUUAGGGUUCUUCGCGAGCCCGACCUCCCAACCCUUUGUCUAAUAUACCUUUUGUUGCUUCGGCGGGCCCGUCUUCAUCGACCGCCGGGGGACUUCGGUCUCCUGGUCCGCGCCCGUCGAUGGCCCCAACCCAAAACUCUUGAAUAAAUCAUGUCAUUUGUCUGAGUAAUUCAUUAAAUAAAAGCAAAACUUUCAACAACGGAUCUCUUGGUUCUG
This 231-nucleotide unclassified non-coding RNA is filed under the name uncultured fungus. RNAcentral's name for it is "partial contains 18S rRNA, ITS1, 5.8S rRNA, ITS2 and 28S rRNA". The record is from RNAcentral. Lineage: Eukaryota; Fungi.